GAUGAACGCUGGCGGCGUGCUUAACACAUGCAAGUCGAACGAAGCACUUUAUUUGAUUUCCUUCGGGACUGAUUAUUUUGUGACUGAGUGGAAGAUGGGUGAGUAACGCGUGGGUAAGCUGCCUUGUACAGGGGGCUAACAGUUGGAAACGGCUGCUAAUACCGCAUAAGCGCACAGCAUCGCAUGAUGCAGUGCGAAAAACUCCGGUGGUAUAGGAUGGACCCGCGUUGGAUUAGCUAGUUGGUGAGGUAACGGCCCACCACGGCGAGGAUCCAUAGCCGAGCUGAGAGAGUGAGCGGCGACAUUGGGACUGAGACACGGCCCGAACUCCUACGGGAGGGAGCAGUGGGGAAUAUUGCACAGUGGGGGAAAGGCUGAUGCAGCGACGCCGCGUAAGCGAAGAAGUAUUUCAGUAUGUAAAGCUCUAUCAGCAGGGAAGAUAAUGACGGUACCUGACUAAGAAGCACCGGCUAAAUACGUG
Molecule: ribosomal RNA, 481 nt
Filed under: uncultured bacterium
Lineage: Bacteria
Description: partial 16S ribosomal RNA
Rfam family: Bacterial small subunit ribosomal RNA
Source: RNAcentral